CCAGACUCCUACGGGAGGCAGCAGUGGGGAAUAUUGCACAAUGGGGGAAACCCUGAUGCAGCGACGCCGCGUGAGCGAUGAAGUAUUUCGGUAUGUAAAGCUCUAUCAGCAGGGAAGAAAAUGACGGUACCUGACUAAGAAGCCCCGGCUAACUACGUGCCGGCAGCCGCGGUAAUACGUAGGGGGCAAGCGUUAUCCGGAUUUACUGGGUGUAAAGGGAGCGUAGACGGCUGUGCAAGCCAGAUGUGAAAGCCCGGGGCUCAACCCCGGGACUGCAUUGGAAACUGCCGAACUAGAGUGUCGGAGAGGCAAGUGGAAUUCCUAGUGUAGCGGUGAAAUGCGUAGAUAUUAGGAGGAACACCAGUGGCGAAGGCGGCUUGCUGGACGAUGACUGACGUUGAGGCUCGAAAGCGUGGGGAGCAAACAGGAUUAGAUACCCGUGUACAC
RNAcentral lists this ribosomal RNA (447 nucleotides) under uncultured bacterium. RNAcentral describes it as "bacterial SSU rRNA". It matches the Rfam family "Bacterial small subunit ribosomal RNA", at positions 331 to 795 of the family's 1533-position model. The record is from RNAcentral.